GCAGGCAGGUGGGGAGUGUCCACCAUCAUGCCUUUAUGACCUGGGCUACACACGUGUACAAUGGACGGUACAACGAGCUGCAAGACCGCGAGGUGGAGUAAUCUCAUAAAACCGUUUUCAGUUCGGAUUGUAGGCUGCAACUCGCCUACAUGAAGCUGGAAUCGCUAGUAAUCGCGGAUCAGCAUGCCGCGGUGAAUACGUUCCCGGGCCUUGUACACACCGCCCGUCACACCACGAGAGUUUGUAACACCCGAAGUCGGUGGGGUAACCUUUUUGGAGCCAGCCGCCUAAGGUGGACAGAUGAAGGGGGGG
Molecule: ribosomal RNA, 312 nt
Filed under: Bacillus sp. BP
Lineage: Bacteria; Bacillati; Bacillota; Bacilli; Caryophanales; Bacillaceae
Description: bacterial SSU rRNA
Rfam family: Bacterial small subunit ribosomal RNA
Source: RNAcentral